This 69-nucleotide transfer RNA is filed under the name Machla setosa. Its description in RNAcentral is "tRNA-Met". The record is from RNAcentral. Lineage: Eukaryota; Metazoa; Arthropoda; Insecta; Coleoptera; Tenebrionidae.
UACAUUUUAGUAUAUGAUGUACAGGGAUUUUUGGUAUCUCAGGAAGUGGUUUAAUUCUGCUAAAUGUAA